GACGAACGCUGGCGGCGUGCUUAACACAUGCAAGUCGAACGGAAAGGCCCUGCUUUUGUGGGGUGCUCGAGUGGCGAAAGGGUGAGUAACACGUGAGUAACCUGCCCUUGACUUUGGGAUAACUUCAGGAAACUGGGGCUAAUACCGGAUAGGAGCUCCUGCUGCAUGGUGGGGGUUGGAAAGUUUCGGCGGUUGGGGAUGGACUCGCGGCUUAUCAGCUUGUUGGUGGGGUAGUGGCUUACCAAAGCUUUGACGGGUAGCCGGCCUGAGAGGGUGACCGGCCCCAUUGGGACUGAGAUACGGCCCAGCCUCCUACGGGAGGCAGCAGUGGGGUAUAUUGCACUAUGGGCUGAAGCCUGAUGCAGCAACGCCGCGUGCGGGAUGACGGCCUUCGGUUUGUAAACCGCUUUCGCCUGUGACGAAGCGUGAGUGACGGUAAUGGGUAAAGAAGCACCGGCUAACUACGUG
Molecule: ribosomal RNA, 468 nt
Filed under: uncultured bacterium
Lineage: Bacteria
Description: partial 16S ribosomal RNA
Rfam family: Bacterial small subunit ribosomal RNA
Source: RNAcentral